Trichonephila inaurata madagascariensis is the source of this 74-nucleotide non-coding RNA. NCBI's taxonomy places the organism in Eukaryota, Metazoa, Arthropoda, Arachnida, Araneae, Nephilidae. The record is from the annotation of a GenBank genome assembly.
UGCUCUGUAGGGGCAAUGGAUAACGCAUUGGACUUCUAAUCCGAAGGUGAUGGAUUCGAAUUCCAUCUGGGUUG